UCGGGGCCCCGAGAGUCGAGUAGAAAGAGGUGGCAUCCUCCUGCGAGGAUCAUACAUAGGCUUUGGGGAUGGAAAAAGACCUAAGAGAUGAUCCAGCUCCAUCCCCGCCCAUUCCUUCUUUUACAGAUAAAGACGCUGAGACCGGAGAGGAGAGGGAAAGAGACUUGCUUUAAGCCACACAGCUUGAAAUAGCUGAGCUGGAAUUCGAGAUCACUUCCCAAGCCCGGAGCUGGGCUCCACUCUGCUGUUUCCUGAUUUAUGCCGGGAGUACUUAGCAAUAAACAUGAAGAGAGAGACUCGCACACGCACGCGCAUAUACGUAUACAGUUAUAUACGUAAGGUUGUGUCUCUCUCCUGGUCCAGCUUCAUGCCACAAACACACACAAUUUAAUUACACAGACGAGGAAGUUGAGUCCGAAAGAGGUUAAGUAACUUCAACAGGGUCAUAAAGCAAAGAAGUGCCUGAGGCUGGAUUUGAACUCAGGUCUAAUGAUUCCAGCUCCAGCUCUCUCUCCUCUACAAUGCAUAUGCUUCUGGAAGAUGUAAAUAUGCAUCUUGAUUAUAGAUAUGACUGUGUACCUAGACUAUAUUAUAUAUUAUGAAUAUAUUAGUAUAUAAUGUCAUUAUUUAUUAUAUAAUAAUAUAAAUGAUUAGGUAUAUAUCACAUUAUUUAUUAGUAAAAUGUAUUAUUAAUAUUCAUCAUAUUUGCUUAUACAGUUUAAAACAAAAAAAUCUGUGUUGAUAUAUUUAAUAAUUUGUAUAAAAUGACACUAACAUAGUCUAUUGAUGUAGAAAAAUGUUCCUCUUAGAAUGUUUAAUUCUCUUUUGCCUACCUAUAUAAACCUAAACAUUCAUGUGUUUUCCAGCCCGUUGAAACAAUGAUUGGAGCAAAUAAAACAGGCUUCCUUUAAAGGGUAAA
RNAcentral lists this long non-coding RNA (919 nucleotides) under Monodelphis domestica (gray short-tailed opossum). Its description in RNAcentral is "lncRNA (ENSMODG00000049801.1)". The record is from RNAcentral. Lineage: Eukaryota; Metazoa; Chordata; Mammalia; Didelphimorphia; Didelphidae.